CCAGCAGCCGCGGUAAUUCCAGCUCCAAUAGCGUAUAUUAAAGUUGUUGCAGUUAAAAAGCUCGUAGUUGGAUUUCUGGUACGGCGUGCCUGGUCCGCCCCUUUUUAUGGUGUGUGUGUACCGGUGCCCGCCUGCCAUCCUUCCAGGGAGCGGUCAUUUUUUAUUGCCUACCCUUCACUGGGCCGGGCCCGCGACCUGGAUCGUUUACUUUGAAAAAAUUAGAGUGUUCAAAGCAGGCUUCCCAGCCUUGAAUACAUUAGCAUGGAAUAAUAAGAUAGGACUCUGGUCCUAUUUUGUUGGUUUCUAGGACGAGAGUAAUGAUUGAUAGGGACAGUUGGGGGUGCUCGUAUUGAACGGCCAGAG
RNAcentral lists this ribosomal RNA (363 nucleotides) under uncultured eukaryote. RNAcentral's name for it is "SSU rRNA". It matches the Rfam family "Eukaryotic small subunit ribosomal RNA", at positions 567 to 910 of the family's 1831-position model. The record is from RNAcentral.